GGGGGGGGGGGGGGGGGGGGCGGGGGGGGGGGGGGCGGGGGGGUGGGGGGGGGGGGGGCGUGGGUGAAGUGGCGGGCGGGCGGGUGAGGGCCAGGUGGCUGCCGGGUAGUGGGGGCUGGCGUCGGGACGGGGGCGCGGAUCGCGUAUAGGUGGUGAGGGGGAACGUGGGGGAUCGUUGGACCUCAGCGGUUUAGCUGACACUCGUUCGGAUGAGCUAGUUGGUUGGGUUAAGGCCUACCAAGGCGACGAUCCGUAACUGUUCUGAGAGGAUGAUCAGUCACACUGGAACUGAGACACGGUCCAGACUCCUACGGGAGGCAGCAGUAGGGAAUAGUGGGCAAUGGGCGAAAGCCUGAUCCAGCCACGCCGCGUGUGUGAAGAAGGUCUUCGGAUUGUAAAGCACUGUAAGUUGGGAGGAAGGGCAGUAAGUGAAUACCUUGCUGUUUUGACGUUACCAACAGAAUAAGCCCCGGCUAACUUCGUG
This 484-nucleotide ribosomal RNA is filed under the name uncultured bacterium. Its description in RNAcentral is "partial 16S ribosomal RNA". The stretch from base 84 to 484 matches the Rfam family "Bacterial small subunit ribosomal RNA", at positions 1 to 507 of the family's 1533-position model. The record is from RNAcentral.